RNAcentral lists this ribosomal RNA (115 nucleotides) under Streptococcus chenjunshii. Lineage: Bacteria; Bacillati; Bacillota; Bacilli; Lactobacillales; Streptococcaceae. The record is from RNAcentral.
UUAAGUGACGCUAGCCUAGGGGAUACACCUGUACCCAUGCCGACCACAGCAGUUAAGCCCUAGAACGCCGGAAGUAGUUGGGGGAUGCCCCUGCGAGAUAAGGAAGUCGCUUAAC